This 488-nucleotide ribosomal RNA is filed under the name Salmonella enterica subsp. enterica serovar Muenchen. RNAcentral describes it as "partial 23S ribosomal RNA". It matches the Rfam family "Bacterial large subunit ribosomal RNA", at positions 161 to 688 of the family's 2925-position model. Lineage: Bacteria; Pseudomonadati; Pseudomonadota; Gammaproteobacteria; Enterobacterales; Enterobacteriaceae. The record is from RNAcentral. RNAcentral also lists the same sequence under 1 other name.
AAUCCAUAGGUUAAUGAGGCGAACCGGGGGAACUGAAACAUCUAAGUACCCCGAGGAAAAGAAAUCAACCGAGAUUCCCCCAGUAGCGGCGAGCGAACGGGGAGGAGCCCAGAGCCUGAAUCAGCAUGUGUGUUAGUGGAAGCGUCUGGAAAGGCGCGCGAUACAGGGUGACAGCCCCGUACACAAAAGCGCAUGUGCUGUGAGCUCGAUGAGUAGGGCGGGACACGUGGUAUCCUGUCUGAAUAUGGGGGGACCAUCCUCCAAGGCUAAAUACUCCUGACUGACCGAUAGUGAACCAGUACCGUGAGGGAAAGGCGAAAAGAACCCCGGCGAGGGGAGUGAAAAAGAACCUGAAACCGUGUACGUACAAGCAGUGGGAGCACAGGUUUACCUGUGUGACUGCGUACCUUUUGUAUAAUGGGUCAGCGACUUAUAUUCUGUAGCAAGGUUAACCGCAUAGGGGAGCCGGAGGGAAACCGAGUCUUAAU